RNAcentral lists this unclassified non-coding RNA (240 nucleotides) under soil metagenome. RNAcentral describes it as "partial contains 5.8S ribosomal RNA, internal transcribed spacer 2, and large subunit ribosomal RNA". The record is from RNAcentral.
AACUGAUACUACCUGCGGGAACCUGCGGAGGGAUCAUUACCGAAGUGAUUUGGGGAUGUUGCUGGCCCUCUCUCAAGGGGGGGCACUGUGCACUCCUCGAAACAAUUCACAAUUUCCAUCACACCCCUUGUGCACACCUUGUAGGCACCCAAACCCACCUCCGGGUGGUGGGGUCCUAUGUAUUCCUUCAUCUCACACUCUGUUGAAUGGUGCCAUGGGACGCAUCUAAAGGAUUAUUUG